This 3275-nucleotide unclassified non-coding RNA is filed under the name Hevea brasiliensis (rubber tree). Lineage: Eukaryota; Viridiplantae; Streptophyta; Magnoliopsida; Malpighiales; Euphorbiaceae. The record is from RNAcentral.
UUCCCAUCUUAUAGCUGCUACAUACUAUAACAUAGGAUUUCAAAAGUUCCUGAUAAUCAAAAAACAAAUUGUAACACAGUGCAGCUAAAGGGGUGGGAGGGUUUAUAAAGGAUUACUAAGGAAGAUAAGAGAAACCAUUGAAACUAAAGCAGAGGAAUGAGGGAAAAAGAAGAUAAAAGAAAGCGAAUGUUAAGUCCCCCCAAAGCAAAAAAGGUCUCACAUGCACAAAUCAAAAAACUGGUUAAACUUAUUGAUCAGAAUCUCAAUCUAACCAUAGUUUGAACAUCUGAGCAGAACCCAAAAAGCAAAAAGGAAAAAAAAAUAAACUUCACAAUCCAACAAAAGAGUCAAAGGAGAAGCUAGUUAAAUGAUUUUCAAUGUUCAUGUCAGAGUUAAAACAGAAUGGUGUGCUAUCAACCUUAGUAUUGAUGACUACAAGUUUUAUCCAACAGAGCAUAUUCUUAUAAUUCAUUACGCAAACUCAAGCUUCUAGCAGAGAUAUUCUCAUUAUGCAAACUCAAGCUUCGAGCAAAGAAAUAACUAAAUGAGAACAGGAUUUAAAGGAGGAAUCAUUAAGGUAAAGCUGUUACCCGGCUUGCACAUAUAGCAUCCCCACCAUAUCAUCAUAUAUUUGGAAUUACGUAAUGGCACAUGUUCCAUCUUCAUCAGAUGAUGUUUUGGUAUCAAAUUCAGACAUGAAUAUCCAUUUCCAAUAACUUCAAUGUGCAGGAUUGUGAACGGCUCUGAGGCUUUUUCACUUUCAUUGUUGACACUUGCAGGCAAGAGAUUUGCCAACUUUGAUAUCACCUCAUGCAGUCUAUUUAUGUAUCUUAGAAUUGAUGCCAUAUUCUAUGAAGUACAUAUAAUUAAAAAUUGUAACAACUAAUAAUACAAAAUCAUCUGCAUAAUUUAAAAGGAAAAAAUAAUGCAAAAAUAUUAGAUUGCUUACAAGCCAAGGAUGUAGCAAGUGACUUCCUAGUCCAUCAAGGCAUUUAUUUGGGGUUGGAUCAUUCUUCUUACACUCGAGAAAUGCCACAUCUCCUUGAAGCAGCUCAUUGAUAUGUGCUUUGAUGACUCAGACAGCUAAAGGGCUUAAAGAUUACUAAAGGAGAGAAUAGGUCCUGUUGAAACUGUCUUCAGUGGACUGAUAAUCCUCUAGGCAAAUAAUUUUGUUGAGCUGCUCAUUGUUUCUUAGAUGUGAAUUGCAAUGUUGAUCUUCUAUCUUCCCCACUUCCCAUCCAUGUUCUAGAUGCUCAGUGGCGCAGGCAGCAAAAACUAACGAUGCUUGAUCUUUUGUUACCAAUAAUCUCCACAAGAACAAACCCCAUCUCGAAAAUGAUGGUAUCUGAUGGGAUCUCUGAUCACAAUAAUACGAUGCUCCAUCUUUGCUACAAGUUUAGCAAAGAGAUGACAGUCUCCACAUAUCCUGAGGUUUUUUCUGAUCCUAAUAGUUUGCUCUUUGGGCAAACUCAUCAAACCAAAUACAAGUGCGAGUUUCUCACUGUGGUAUUGCAGGGAGUGUUCUCUUUGCUCUUCCCCUUCAAGAUCUUGCAAGACAAAAUUUGUGUCUGGAACAUAACCCACUCCCUUAAGCUUAUGAAUCAACUGGUUCAGCUGUUUGUUGAUCUCAUCGAGUUGAGGAUGUGAAUUGUCUCCUAAAAUGAAUGCAUGAAUCUGCUUAUUCACUUCAACCCAGCUACAUCCUGGUUCUUUCCUAAUUCCCAUGUCAUUCAUGGUCCUCCUAAUUUGUGUAACAUCAUCCCACCUUUGAGUAUUUGCAUAAAUAUUAGACAACAGUAUAUAGGUUCCUGCAUCUUGAGGAUACAGCCUUAGAAUUUGUUUGGCAGCAUAUAUAGCCAGAUCCACAUUCCGGUGCACCCUGCAUGCACCAAGCAAAGUUCUCCAUGUCACAGCAUCUGGUCCACAUUCUAUUUCAUUUAUCAACUCCACUGCAUCAUUAAGUUUCCCUGCUCUUCCAAGAAGAUCAAUCAUGCAACUGUAGUGUUCCCUUCCUGGAUCGACCCCAAAAAGCUUCUUCAUAGAUCGGAAAUAGUACCAGCCAGCUUCUAGAAGCCCAGCAUGGCUGCAAGCAAAUAGCACUCCCAGAAUGGUAAUGUGGUUUGGUUUUGUCCCUGAAGCUUUCAUGGACUCAAACAACCUCAAUGCCUCCCUGCUGUAACCAUUUUGCGCCAACCCUGCAAUCAUGGUACUCCAAGAGAUUACAUCCUUCACCAUCAUCCGAGUGAAAACAGUGUUGGCAUCUUCCAGACUGCCACACUUGCAAUACAUAUCCAAAAGAGCAUUAUUUAGGAUCAAAUCUUGAUCAUACUUGAAGACAUGAACAUGAACUUGUCUCCCCAAUUCUAACAGCGCUAACCCAGUACAGGCUCUCAAGACACUCGUCAGCGUUGCUUGAUCAGCUAGAAAACGAGCUCGCUUCAUUCUCUUGAAAAGAUUUAAAGCUUCAUCGCCAUCGCUGUUUUGAGCAAACCCAGCAAUGAUAGAGUUCCAAACAACCAAAUCUUCUGUCGCCAUCUCAUUGAAAACGCGCAACGCAUUCUCGGACUGGUCCCAUUUCGAAUAUAUAUCAAUAAGAGCACUCCUAACGUAGAUAUCAGAAUCCAACCCACUCUUUAUUAUAUUAGCAUGGAGCUGCCUAAGAUUAGCCAAUCCGUCGCAUGCCCUCAAAACGGAAGAAUAGGUGAACAUAUUUGGCUUCACACCUUCCCUAAGCAUCGAAAUCAGAAACUCCAAGGCCUUGUCGUUGAGCUUAGCAUUAGCGUAAGCUGAUAUCAUCGUGGUCCAAGACACAAAAUUUCUUUCAGGCAUUUGGUCGAACAACGCCCGUGCAUCAUCUAACAUAUUAAAUUUAACAUACAUACUCAUUAAAACAUUGAUGAGAAACGUUUUAGGCUGGUGUCCACUAGAGAAAAGGUGCUUAUGGACGCGUUUUCCCUGUUCAACGGCACCGCGGGCCCAGCAGCACUUGAUGAGCUCAGAAUAGGUGAUAGAGUCAGCCCAAAUUCCAUGUUUAUGCAUUGCGUCCAUGGCUUCCAUGGCUCUAGGCAGGUUUCGUUGAUAGCAAAACUGGGUGAAUUCAUGAAGUAAGGACGAAGAUGGGAUGGGCAAAAUGCAGGACGACGUAUGAUAGGAGAGAAAGAAAAAGGAUUUGAUAGCGAAGCCGGUUGAUUUACGCAUAGUUUUUCCCUUGCAAAACCUUUCUUCAUGGCUUAAAGCUUAACUGCGGCAACUUUCUUCCGAAACCUUCAUGUUAA